Cucurbita moschata (crookneck pumpkin) is the source of this 2336-nucleotide long non-coding RNA. RefSeq lists it as uncharacterized. The transcript has 4 exons. The record is from RefSeq and is a predicted model, not a curated record. Lineage: Eukaryota; Viridiplantae; Streptophyta; Magnoliopsida; Cucurbitales; Cucurbitaceae.
ACUCCAAGAAUUGGUUGAAACUUAGAAAUGACAAAGAUGAUGCUCAAAUUCUUGGAACCUUGUUCUAAAUUGAAUCACUCCACAAGUCGCACUUGAUCAAGAUCUGAUUGUACAAGAAUUGGUUGAAAUUUAGAAAUGACAAAGAAGUUGAAAUUUAGAAAUGACGAAGAAGAUGCUCAAAUUCUAAGGGUGAAAAUCUGAGAGCUCAAUUUCAUUCCUCUAAAAUCUGUCUUUUAUACAAUAAUUUGGGGGUAUUUAUAGUCUCCCACAAAAAAAGAACUUUGAACUCUUCAAAUGCCCGCUAAAAAAGUUAGUGGCCAUAAUUUACUCCCACUCCCUUUUGAAUCUCUACAAGAGUCACUUUAACAAGUAACUUCUCCCACCCUUUUGCCCCUGCAAGAAAUUAUAAAAUUAAAAUAAUAAAUAAAGUUUUCAAUUUAUAGCAACUUCAUCCGCUACUUCAACCAUGCAAAUAUUCACUUUCGAAACUUCAGAUUGUUCUUCCACAAUUGAAUCAGCUUGUAACACAUGAAAUAAUAGUUGAACCGAGCCUAUUUAAUUUUGUAGGUGAAGAAUAAAUGUUUGUUGAAUCUUCUUGGUCUUGGAUCAUGUAAUAGGUCCAGUUGGAACAUUUGGAACACCGUGAUCCUUAUUAGUUCCUCAAGGAACCACUUUGGGCAGGAGGAAAACCGUGUUGGCUUGAUAGUACUGUUACUGCUGUUUGCAUGACUGAACAGCUUAGAAAAUUGGUAAAAUCGCAUCCUCUCCGUGAGUCCUUAGAUCAACCUUGCUUCCUUCAUCAGUCCUCAUGAAAUGUAGGCCGAGUGAAGGCAUUUUUCCUAUGGAAUGUUGCACCGAGGACUUGUGCUACUAACCUACCGAACCUUGGUGUAGUUCCUUCUGACGUCACUUCCAGUCCACCAAACUGAUUAGGAUGGGCAACAUUUUCCCAUCCAACAAGAUGAUUCCUCUCGUUUUCUUGACAAAGGAUCUAUCAGUUAUUAUUUUUUUUCUUAUUAAAAAAACAGAUAUUCAAUCAUAGAUCCUGGUUUUCAAGGGUCUUCAAGAGGAAAGGUAGCAAAUUGGGUAAUUAGCGAGGACAAAUUCAACUGAGGUAAGUUUUUUUCCCUUUGAAAUAUGAGAUUUGGAUCAACAACGGUGUUGAAAUUUAGAUAAAUUUUCAGUCUUUUUCAUACAUCUUAAUGAAACGUUUUCGAUGUGAGGUAGGUUGUAUGUGUUUUAUGGACGGUUUAUUACCUGUUGCAACGGCCUUUGUACAUGUAUGUUAAAGUGAUGCUUCCUUCCAAUGUUUCCUUUACUUUCAAAUCCUGUUCAAAGUUGCAACUUUAAGUCUGGCUGCAUAAUCUUCAAUUUUUGUGUAUUCGUUUGCUAAGUUGAAUCAAUACAAAGUACUGUUUGGUUUACGACAUUGUUUUCUUUUUGUUGGAUACAGUAUCCUUUUCUCUUAAGAUGAAUCUUAAUGAAACCUUUUGAUUGAAUCUUCCUUUCAUUUUAUAAAAUGGAUGCCCAAGGGACUGCUUGAUGUAUUUUUUAAAAGUUGCUUAGACUGAAUAAGCUUUUUAACACUGGUUUUUUAAUUGUUUUUUAAAUUUCAAAACUGUUUGAACAUAUCUUUAUACAAGAUAGGUCCUAUUCAUGGUCGUUAAGUUUGACCAAUGGGGAUGAACACAGAUUGAUGACUUUUGUAAGGUCGCAAAGUUAUAAUUGAUAUUUCUUCUCCGAUGCCAAGUUUGUCCCAUAUGACAACUCAAUAUCUGGGUUUGGUGGCAACGUUGCUCAAUUUUCCCAACCUGUACGUAUUGUUUGGGCAGGUUUCUCUUGAUCGGUUUGAAGUUCUUUGGUUUUUUCUGAGGACUUGGCUCAAGGUACGACAAUCAUCUCAUCGAUACCACCUUGCCCUUUGUUGACAGCACAGCCUGUUCAAUAUCCGAAACAUCAAGGAACUGCAGCAACACAAGCAUUGCAGCUUUGUGUUCCUCAGCCAUUCAUGGCCAAUGGACACCAACCGCUUGCCGCAGCGCCAAACGUCAUUCCAGCUUUGCAGCCAUCCUUCCCAUUCAACCACCCAAUGCAACUGCCAGAAGCUAAUUCAUUCUUCAACGCCAAGUUCUAAUGAAUUUGCUUCUUUUGUUAAUUCUCAAUGUAGUCAACCCCAAGGUUUUAGCAAAAUUUUGAUCCUCUUAAAAGUUAUUUUCCCAAUUUGUAUUAAUUAUUAGCAUUUUUCUUUUCAUUGGAUUGUUUCCAUUCAAAUCAAAGACAUUUUACCUUUGAUUGGUGGAUGGGGCCUGUUGAACUAUGUAAAGGUCGAAUUAAAA